UAAUGUUACAUUAAAGAUAAAACAUUGUAUAAAUGAAAAAAGUGAAGUGUUAUUGGUACUCUAAAAAUCUCAUUUUACAUUCCUCAUAAGUGUAUUUUUUAUUCAAAAUAUAGAAAGUUUGAAGUGUAGAAUGAGAUUUUUAGAAUGCCAAUAACAACUCCUAGUGAAAAUUGAGAAGAAACUGAACAUUGUGAUACCUAACUAAUAAUUAUAACUGGCUAAAACCCCAGUUUGUUCUUUGAUCGUAAAUCGUCUGAAUUUCAUCGCACAAAAGGACGUCUGAAUUUCAUCGCAUAAAAGGACGAGCAAGUUUGGGUCUCUUUAAUGACCCCUCAACGAUGACGGUUUCCCCGAGAUUACAACAUAUUGUGGUAAUUAAAGAGAGGGGCCAGGAAAACUUGAGGGUCCAUGAAAGUGUCACAUCGUAUGGCGACAGCUGGGAUGCCAAACGUUUUAUCCCUCAUCUUUUCUUUUCUUUUCUUUUGAUGAGGAAGAGAAUGUCCACCUGUAGCUAAAGACCAGCAACUAUUUUGGCUUAUCGGUAUGCGUGCUGUGUUCCACGUAAAUGGAUAUCACCAAUAUCUGUUCGGAUGAACAAUUGAUCUUUUACUAUAUUGAUGAAAAUAAAUUAAUUUUUUGCAUGAUAGUGUGAGUUCGAAUUUCAUUAGUGGUUAAUUUAACAUUUAAUUUAACAAAAUCUAUCGUUUAACCAAAAAGAGAAAAAAAAUCUGUUAGGAUGGAUGCAAUUCUCCAAGGGGGUUGUAGCCGAUCUUUGAAUUUGAUAAUUUGAGUUUGAAAAAUGUCCUUCAACAAUAAUGUAUGGAAAAAGAAAAAUGAAAGCUCGUGCAUGAGUAUCUCUUUAAUUUUUAUACUUCGGAAAUCAAUCAACAUUAUUUAUUAUAAAGUUGAGGAGUAAAUUGACUAUAUGUUAGCUACAGUCACAGGUUUGACCUUUGAUUUUGCUUUAUUUAUAGCACUACCAUCUAAUUGAGGUUGGGUUCUGGUUUGGACCGGUCACAUUUUGUGUGGUGGGUUCAGUUCAUUUCUUGACAUAAGCCCAGCCCUUAGGGGGUGAAAAUGAUGAGGCUACCCCAUCAAGGGUUAAAAUCUGAUGGUCAAGAUGGUAA
RNAcentral lists this long non-coding RNA (1127 nucleotides) under Malus domestica (apple). Its description in RNAcentral is "long non-coding RNA (MDOM_LNC020114)". Lineage: Eukaryota; Viridiplantae; Streptophyta; Magnoliopsida; Rosales; Rosaceae. The record is from RNAcentral.